RNAcentral lists this ribosomal RNA (847 nucleotides) under Ramularia coleosporii. RNAcentral's name for it is "eukaryotic LSU rRNA". It matches the Rfam family "Eukaryotic large subunit ribosomal RNA", at positions 50 to 928 of the family's 3401-position model. Lineage: Eukaryota; Fungi; Ascomycota; Dothideomycetes; Mycosphaerellales; Mycosphaerellaceae. The record is from RNAcentral.
GCGGAGGAAAAGAAACCAACAGGGAUUGCCCUAGUAACGGCGAGUGAAGCGGCAACAGCUCAAAUUUGAAAUCUGGCGCAAGCCCGAGUUGUAAUUUGUAGAGGAUGCUUCUAGGUAGCGACCGGUCUAAGUUCCUUGGAACAGGACGUCAUAGAGGGUGAGAAUCCCGUAUGUGACCGGCCCGCACCUUCUACGUAGCUCCUUCGACGAGUCGAGUUGUUUGGGAAUGCAGCUCUAAAUGGGAGGUAAAUUUCUUCUAAAGCUAAAUACCGGCCAGAGACCGAUAGCGCACAAGUAGAGUGAUCGAAAGAUGAAAAGCACUUUGGAAAGAGAGUUAAAAAGCACGUGAAAUUGUUGAAAGGGAAGCGCUUACAACCAGACUUCUGGGCGGUGUUCCGCCGGUCUUUUGACCGGUCUACUCGCCGUCCCGAGGCCAACAUCAUCUGGGACCGCUGGAUAAGACCUCAGGAAUGUAGCUCCCCUCGGGGAGUGUUAUAGCCUGUGGUGAUGCAGCGCGUCUCGGGUGAGGUCCGCGCUUCGGCAAGGAUGUUGGCGUAAUGGUUGUCAGCGGCCCGUCUUGAAACACGGACCAAGGAGUCUAACAUCUAUGCGAGUGUUCGGGUGUCAAACCCCUACGCGUAAUGAAAGUGAACGGAGGUGGGAAGGGCAACCUGCACCAUCGACCGAUCCUGAUGUCCUCGGAUGGAUUUGAGUAAGAGCAUAGCUGUUGGGACCCGAAAGAUGGUGAACUAUGCCUGAAUAGGGUGAAGCCAGAGGAAACUCUGGUGGAGGCUCGCAGCGGUUCUGACGUGCAAAUCGAUCGUCAAAUUUGGGUAUAGGGGCGAAA